This 253-nucleotide ribosomal RNA is filed under the name uncultured bacterium. RNAcentral's name for it is "partial 16S ribosomal RNA". It matches the Rfam family "Bacterial small subunit ribosomal RNA", at positions 524 to 776 of the family's 1533-position model. The record is from RNAcentral.
UACGUAGGUGGCAAGCGUUGUCCGGAUUUACUGGGCGUAAAGAGCGCGCAGGCGGUCGUCCAAGUCGCGUGUGAAAGCCCCCGGCUCAACUGGGGAGGGUCACGCGAUACUGGUCGACUCGAAGGCAGGAGAGGGUAGUGGAAUUCCCGGUGUAGUGGUGAAAUGCGUAGAUAUCGGGAGGAACACCUGUGGCGAAAGCGGCGCACUGGACCACAACUGACGCUGAGGCGCGAAAGCUAGGGGAGCAAACAGG